Molecule: ribosomal RNA, 494 nt
Filed under: uncultured bacterium
Lineage: Bacteria
Description: partial 16S ribosomal RNA
Rfam family: Bacterial small subunit ribosomal RNA
Source: RNAcentral
GACGAACGCUGACGGCGUGCUUAACACAUGCAAGUCGAACGGUGAAGCGCCUUCCUUUUUGGUGGGUGUGGAUGAGUGGCGAACGGGUGAGUAACACGUGAGUAACCUGCCCCCUUCUUCUGGAUAACCGCAUGAAAGUGUGGCUAAUACGGGAUAUUCUGGGUCUGUCGCAUGAUGGGUCUGGGAAAGAUAUUGUUUCGGUGGGGGAUGGGCUCGCGGCCUAUCAGCUUGUUGGUGGGGUGAUGGCCUACCAAGGCGGUGACGGGUAGCCGGCCUGAGAGGGUGGACGGUCACACUGGGACUGAGACACGGCCCAGACUCCUACGGGAGGCAGCAGCGGGGAAUAUUGCACAAUGGGCGCAAGCCUGAUGCAGCGACGCCGCGUGAGGGAUGGAGGCCUUCGGGUUGUGAACCUCUUUCGCCAGUGAAGCAGGCCUGCCUCGUUUGUGGGUGGGUUGACGGUAGCUGGAUAAGAAGCGCCGGCUAACUACGUG